UACGGGGGGGGCAAGCGUUGUUCGGAAUUACUGGGCGUAAAGGGCUCGUAGGCGGCCAACUAAGUCAGACGUGAAAUCCCUCGGCUUAACCGGGGAACUGCGUCUGAUACUGGAUGGCUUGAAUCCGGGAGAGGGAUGCGGAAUUCCUGGUGUAGCGGUGAAAUGCGCAGAUAUCAGGAGGAACACCAGCGGCGAAGGCGGCGCUCUGGGCCGGUACUGACACUGAGGAGCGAAAGCGUGGGUAGCAAACAGG
This 253-nucleotide ribosomal RNA is filed under the name uncultured bacterium. Its description in RNAcentral is "partial 16S ribosomal RNA". It matches the Rfam family "Bacterial small subunit ribosomal RNA", at positions 524 to 776 of the family's 1533-position model. The record is from RNAcentral.